RNAcentral lists this long non-coding RNA (1084 nucleotides) under Nicotiana benthamiana. RNAcentral describes it as "long non-coding RNA (NBEN_LNC011756)". The record is from RNAcentral. Lineage: Eukaryota; Viridiplantae; Streptophyta; Magnoliopsida; Solanales; Solanaceae.
UUUGGAAUGAGACAGGGACAUAUUAUUGGAGGAUGAUCUUCACAAAGAGCCAAUGUUCCUUUCAAGGAGUGGGAGGAAUAUAUGCUUUUUGGCUAGUUUACGCUCACUCACUACUUUAAUAAACGGCGUUAUAUAAUGGUGCAAUAAAUAAUGUGCUGUGCACUUAUUUAGGCGCACAUCCACUCUAGUUGCUAUUUCUCAUAGGCAUAAAUACAGAAUAAUAUUCCUCACCAAGUUAGAUUAAUAGCAACAAAUUAUUUACAUUGACUUUAAUAUGAUUUCACCCACAUCAUCAAUCACCGUUUUGCCAUGUUUUAAAAUUAUCUACUUCGAUAUCAACUUAAUGCUUAUACACUAACCAUGCUUAUAUAACUGGAUUCAUCUUGAUAUUGUAAAGAUGUUCAUGUACAUCGUAAUCUUGAUGAGAAUGGCUUGUAUACAUGUCCACAUUAGUCUCAUCAAAUGUUCUUUUCAGUGUUGCAUCACACUUCCUGUUUCCGUGGGCUUCAAUGGCUCGCGCUCCGAAAGAGAUGAACGGUAUUCUUUAUUAGUAAAAUGAAAGCUACUUAUGUUGUCUUGUUACGAAACUAGAAAGUUGGGGAAGCCAAUGUAAUUUGGACAGUGUUAUUGUGUUACUAUUUGUAUGGGUCAAAAUUUAACUACACGUGGAUUAACGCUAACAAAAAUGGUAAGAGGUCAACUAAGACGUGGUCGUACCCACAGGAUAUAAUAACAACGAAUAUUGCGGCCACUACUAAGAUCGAGCCAUCAAUAAGCUUGUGUGGCGAAGUAAAUAUCGCGGUAUAUGAGGGAGGCGAUGUGGAGGACAAUCAAGGAAUGAAUGCAUUUUGGUUGACGAUUGAUGGACAAAAGGAAUACUGAUAAUAUAUGCAGAAGUAAGAAGACAAGGAAAGGGGGCUCAACAGAAGGAGGGAAGAAAAUCAAGAACAGGUUUAGAUGGUGAAUACAAAUCUCUGUAAUCGUGAUUAUUGAAUCAAUAAAGAUAGAUCUCGUCGUUGUCGAUGUCAUUCCAUCUUUUCUGUCUUCAUCACUACAUCAUGGGAUAAUAUGUCAAGAAUGUAAG